RNAcentral lists this ribosomal RNA (781 nucleotides) under Ciconiphilus decimfasciatus. RNAcentral describes it as "12S ribosomal RNA". The record is from RNAcentral. Lineage: Eukaryota; Metazoa; Arthropoda; Insecta; Psocodea; Menoponidae.
UUCUAUCUUUAUUUUUUAUCAACCUAUCAGUACGAAAGGACAAUAUGGUAUUUUUAGAAAAAAAAAACUAUAAAACAAGUUUUGUGUAAGCUUAAUAAUAGAUAUUUUAUUAGGACCUCAUACAAAAAAAGUAGAGAGUGCAAUUAUAUAAAUUAACUAUAGUUAUAAAUAAUAUAAUAAAUCUAGUUAAUUAUGUGCCAGCACCUGCGGUAAUACAUAAGAGAUUAAGUCUAUUAUUAUCUAUAAUAACCUAACAAAUAAUAUUUUAAUAAAAAAAAUUAUAUUAAAGUAUAAUCUAAAAUAAUUAUUAUUUCUUUAAUUAAACGUUUUUAAACUUUUAAAAAAACCAGGAUUAGAUACCCUGUUAUAGAAGUUAAUACUUUUAUAGAAAAAUAUAAUUUAAAAAAGAAAUUUAUAUCUCAUGGCAGUUAGGAAUUCAGAUUAGAUGAGUAUGCUUUUUAAAUAGAUAAUCCCCAAAAAAUCAUACUUAGCUUAGACAAAGUCACUUUUUCCACCGCCGUUUUUAGGUUUAAUUAAUUAAACCUAAUAAUUAGUUUUUCUAAAAAAAUCAGGUAAAGGUGAAGGUAAUAGCUAAGGUGAAGUGUACUACAUUUCUUAUAAGAGUGGAUAGUUAUUUGAAAAAUAAUUUUAAAAUGAAUUUAAAAGUAAUAAAAUUUAAUAAUAUUAUUAUGAAUAUAGAUCUUCCUUUUGUACAAAUCGCCCGUCACCCCCGGGUCAUUCUCGGGGUAAGUCGAAACAUAGUAGAUGUACUGGAAAGUGU